Molecule: unclassified non-coding RNA, 262 nt
Filed under: Hevea brasiliensis (rubber tree)
Lineage: Eukaryota; Viridiplantae; Streptophyta; Magnoliopsida; Malpighiales; Euphorbiaceae
Source: RNAcentral
UGUAAUGCUUUGUCUUGUGUAAGCUAGAUUAAGGAUUUCUUGUUUAGGUUGCUUUUCUACUUAAAUUUUGGUUUUCCUUUCCUCCAAUUAUCCUUUUUUAUUGGACUAUUGUUUGGAAUGGAAAUCCCAAAUGCUUCACAUUCCUCACACCCCAUUUGGAAAAAGAAACAAUCUUAUUCUUAUUUUAGAAUAUUUUAUUAUAGAAUUCUGGUGUUUGAAAUAUAUUAUUAAGUAAUAGAAUUUAUUUGAUGUGAUUGAAAAC